RNAcentral lists this ribosomal RNA (1068 nucleotides) under Alicella gigantea. Its description in RNAcentral is "16S ribosomal RNA". The stretch from base 654 to 1068 matches the Rfam family "Bacterial large subunit ribosomal RNA", at positions 2046 to 2690 of the family's 2925-position model. The record is from RNAcentral. Lineage: Eukaryota; Metazoa; Arthropoda; Malacostraca; Amphipoda; Alicellidae.
UUGUUUAGUGAGCAAUUAUAAUUUUAUGGUACUAAUUGGAAUUAUUAGUUUAAUAGUAAAAAUUUGGUUUGUACCUUUUGUAUCAGGGUAACUUAAAAUAUCAAGUUAUUAUAGAUUUCUCGAGUGUAUGCGAUAGCUAAGUUUGUUUAAUAAGUUGAAUUUUUAUAUUAAUAGAAUUAGUAGUGAAAUGUUUUCGGUUAUACUGCUAGCUAGUUUAUUAGUCUAAGUUUAAUUACUUAUACUAUAAGUAUAUCUUGUAAUGGGGUAAUCUCUUUACUAUUGAUAAAUUUACAUUUGGUUUAGGGAAUUAGGCUUUGGAUUUGCCAUAUUAAUAUAUUUUUGUAAAUAACCUAUGAGAGUUAAUUUUAAUGGUUUCUCACACAGGCUAAUAUAUUUUUUAUACUUGGAAUAAUUUAUUAAUAAUGAGUUUAUUAGUACUAAUAGGAAUUAUAUAGAAGGAACUCGGUAAUUUUUUGAAAGUUUAGCAAAAACAUUUUUUUGAGGUUAAGUCAGGAUAUGGCCUGCCCAGUGAGUUAUUCAACGGCUGCGGUAUUUUGACCGUGCUAAGGUAGCAUAAUCAUUUGUUCUUUAAUUGAGUUCUGGUAUGAAUGGUUUAACAAAAAUGAGUAUCUUUGUUUAUAACAGGAAAUUGUAUUUCUAGUGAUAAUACUGGAUUGAUAUUAAGGGACGAUAAGACCCUAAAAGCUUUAUUUUAUGUGCAAAGUUAGUUUUAGUGUAUUGAUAGGAUUCUUUGUUGGUAAGUUAGCUGGGGUAGCUGUUCUAGGUAAAUUAGAGUGUUAUAUUAUACUUAAUGAAGGGUUUAUGGUCCUGUUUAUACGGAUAAUUAGAGUUAGUUACUUUAGGGAUAACAGCGCAAUAUUUUUGGGGAGAUCAUAUCUAUAUAGGUGAUUGCGACCUCGAUGUUGAAUUAAAAGUUCCCCGUGGGGCAGAGAAUACGGUGGAUGGUUUGUUCAACCAUUAAAUUUUUACAUGAUUUGAGUUCAAAUCGGUUUAAGCCAGAUUGGUUUCUAUCUUUUAUUAAAUAAUAAUUCUUUUUAGUACGAAAGG